UUUUUAAACACGUGGGCUUCGCCUAGCGAGCAUGACAGUUCAAGAAAUUCCUCUGAGCGUAGGUGAUUCUGGUGGCUUUUCUUGGGACUCGCUAGGCGACCCAUUCUGCUCGCCUAGCGAGCAUGACAGCUCAUGAACAAACUUUUGCUCCUUCAAGAUUAACAUUUUGACUGACGAAUAGACCCCAUUUGAACCUGUUGGAAGUAUCUCAAGCCAUUCCCUUGUGUUGACUGAUCAUCUAAAUAGAACCCACAAAGUGUCUUGGAUGAUACUCAAGUUUCAAACAAAAUAUGUUAGUGACACAUUU
Molecule: long non-coding RNA, 307 nt
Filed under: Lathyrus oleraceus (garden pea)
Lineage: Eukaryota; Viridiplantae; Streptophyta; Magnoliopsida; Fabales; Fabaceae
Description: Pisum sativum (pea) long non-coding RNA (PSAT_LNC019902)
Source: RNAcentral